This 756-nucleotide long non-coding RNA is filed under the name Ananas comosus (pineapple). Its description in RNAcentral is "long non-coding RNA (ACOM_LNC044238)". The record is from RNAcentral. Lineage: Eukaryota; Viridiplantae; Streptophyta; Magnoliopsida; Poales; Bromeliaceae.
CGGUUUCUUGAUACGAUGCUUCAAAUCCGUUUCCAGGAUUUUACGACGUCGCCUCGGCCCUCCAGGCGGAAACGAAGCCUAAACGUCCGUUUCUUUAAUAACUUUGCACCGGCUCGACGAAUCGCCGAACCGUCGUUUCCAACGCGUUCGUAGACCUAGCAAUUAGGUAAACAGAGGGUUAAAAGAGAUCAAACCCAACAAUUUUAAAAGUUAGCAUUUUGAGCCCUAGGUUUACAACUAUGCAAGAAAUCAUUAAAUUGCUCUAUGAUUCAAGCAUUAAUCAUCUAUUAGGCAUCAAUGGGUUCCACUAAAACCAUUUUCAAAAUAUUUAGACCUAUCUUUAGAGAUCUACCAUUAAAGCCCUCAUUUUGGAGCUCUAUAUUGCGAUUAGUGCUAAGCACACUAAUAGAACCAUAGAUUCAUGUUAGAAUCAUCUUAGUAACCUCCUAAGGUUUGCCCAAAACCAUUUCUAGAGUGUAUAAUUGAAGCCCUAACAUUCUACCAUUAAAGGGUUAGAGCUUUACCUCACAAGAUUCCUCCAAGCUUGAAGGAGAGGAAGAAGAUGAUGAAGAUCACUUCCAAGCUUCACAAAACCCCUCUCUUGGCUUCUUAUUCCUAGAGAGAGAGAGAGCUCUCCAUGGUUGCAAGUGUGAGGGAGAGAAGGAGAAGAGAAGGUGUGUGUGCGUGUGAUGCUUCGGCCAAGCAGCCGCACCACAUAUGGGGCUGCCACAAUUGCAGGAAACCCCCUCACAUUAU